Molecule: ribosomal RNA, 2901 nt
Filed under: Escherichia coli
Lineage: Bacteria; Pseudomonadati; Pseudomonadota; Gammaproteobacteria; Enterobacterales; Enterobacteriaceae
Description: bacterial LSU rRNA
Rfam family: Bacterial large subunit ribosomal RNA
Source: RNAcentral
UUAAGCGACUAAGCGUACACGGUGGAUGCCCUGGCAGUCAGAGGCGAUGAAGGACGUGCUAAUCUGCGAUAAGCGUCGGUAAGGUGAUAUGAACCGUUAUAACCGGCGAUUUCCGAAUGGGGAAACCCAGUGUGUUUCGACACACUAUCAUUAACUGAAUCCAUAGGUUAAUGAGGCGAACCGGGGGAACUGAAACAUCUAAGUACCCCGAGGAAAAGAAAUCAACCGAGAUUCCCCCAGUAGCGGCGAGCGAACGGGGAGCAGCCCAGAGCCUGAAUCAGUGUGUGUGUUAGUGGAAGCGUCUGGAAAGGCGCGCGAUACAGGGUGACAGCCCCGUACACAAAAAUGCACAUAUUGUGAGCUCGAUGAGUAGGGCGGGACACGUGGUAUCCUGUCUGAAUAUGGGGGGACCAUCCUCCAAGGCUAAAUACUCCUGACUGACCGAUAGUGAACCAGUACCGUGAGGGAAAGGCGAAAAGAACCCCGGCGAGGGGAGUGAAAAAGAACCUGAAACCGUGUACGUACAAGCAGUGGGAGCCUCUUUUAUGGGGUGACUGCGUACCUUUUGUAUAAUGGGUCAGCGACUUAUAUUCUGUAGCAAGGUUAACCGAAUAGGGGAGCCGAAGGGAAACCGAGUCUUAACUGGGCGUUAAGUUGCAGGGUAUAGACCCGAAACCCGGUGAUCUAGCCAUGGGCAGGUUGAAGGUUGGGUAACACUAACUGGAGGACCGAACCGACUAAUGUUGAAAAAUUAGCGGAUGACUUGUGGCUGGGGGUGAAAGGCCAAUCAAACCGGGAGAUAGCUGGUUCUCCCCGAAAGCUAUUUAGGUAGCGCCUCGUGAAUUCAUCUCCGGGGGUAGAGCACUGUUUCGGCAAGGGGGUCAUCCCGACUUACCAACCCGAUGCAAACUGCGAAUACCGGAGAAUGUUAUCACGGGAGACACACGGCGGGUGCUAACGUCCGUCGUGAAGAGGGAAACAACCCAGACCGCCAGCUAAGGUCCCAAAGUUAUGGUUAAGUGGGAAACGAUGUGGGAAGGCCCAGACAGCCAGGAUGUUGGCUUAGAAGCAGCCAUCAUUUAAAGAAAGCGUAAUAGCUCACUGGUCGAGUCGGCCUGCGCGGAAGAUGUAACGGGGCUAAACCAUGCACCGAAGCUGCGGCAGCGACACUAUGUGUUGUUGGGUAGGGGAGCGUUCUGUAAGCCUGUGAAGGUGUACUGUGAGGUAUGCUGGAGGUAUCAGAAGUGCGAAUGCUGACAUAAGUAACGAUAAAGCGGGUGAAAAGCCCGCUCGCCGGAAGACCAAGGGUUCCUGUCCAACGUUAAUCGGGGCAGGGUGAGUCGACCCCUAAGGCGAGGCCGAAAGGCGUAGUCGAUGGGAAACAGGUUAAUAUUCCUGUACUUGGUGUUACUGCGAAGGGGGGACGGAGAAGGCUAUGUUGGCCGGGCGACGGUUGUCCCGGUUUAAGCGUGUAGGCUGGUUUUCCAGGCAAAUCCGGAAAAUCAAGGCUGAGGCGUGAUGACGAGGCACUACGGUGCUGAAGCAACAAAUGCCCUGCUUCCAGGAAAAGCCUCUAAGCAUCAGGUAACAUCAAAUCGUACCCCAAACCGACACAGGUGGUCAGGUAGAGAAUACCAAGGCGCUUGAGAGAACUCGGGUGAAGGAACUAGGCAAAAUGGUGCCGUAACUUCGGGAGAAGGCACGCUGAUAUGUAGGUGAAGUCCCUCGCGGAUGGAGCUGAAAUCAGUCGAAGAUACCAGCUGGCUGCAACUGUUUAUUAAAAACACAGCACUGUGCAAACACGAAAGUGGACGUAUACGGUGUGACGCCUGCCCGGUGCCGGAAGGUUAAUUGAUGGGGUUAGCGCAAGCGAAGCUCUUGAUCGAAGCCCCGGUAAACGGCGGCCGUAACUAUAACGGUCCUAAGGUAGCGAAAUUCCUUGUCGGGUAAGUUCCGACCUGCACGAAUGGCGUAAUGAUGGCCAGGCUGUCUCCACCCGAGACUCAGUGAAAUUGAACUCGCUGUGAAGAUGCAGUGUACCCGCGGCAAGACGGAAAGACCCCGUGAACCUUUACUAUAGCUUGACACUGAACAUUGAGCCUUGAUGUGUAGGAUAGGUGGGAGGCUUAGAAGUGUGGACGCCAGUCUGCAUGGAGCCGACCUUGAAAUACCACCCUUUAAUGUUUGAUGUUCUAACGUGGACCCGUGAUCCGGGUUGCGGACAGUGUCUGGUGGGUAGUUUGACUGGGGCGGUCUCCUCCUAAAGAGUAACGGAGGAGCACGAAGGUUGGCUAAUCCUGGUCGGACAUCAGGAGGUUAGUGCAAUGGCAUAAGCCAGCUUGACUGCGAGCGUGACGGCGCGAGCAGGUGCGAAAGCAGGUCAUAGUGAUCCGGUGGUUCUGAAUGGAAGGGCCAUCGCUCAACGGAUAAAAGGUACUCCGGGGAUAACAGGCUGAUACCGCCCAAGAGUUCAUAUCGACGGCGGUGUUUGGCACCUCGAUGUCGGCUCAUCACAUCCUGGGGCUGAAGUAGGUCCCAAGGGUAUGGCUGUUCGCCAUUUAAAGUGGUACGCGAGCUGGGUUUAGAACGUCGUGAGACAGUUCGGUCCCUAUCUGCCGUGGGCGCUGGAGAACUGAGGGGGGCUGCUCCUAGUACGAGAGGACCGGAGUGGACGCAUCACUGGUGUUCGGGUUGUCAUGCCAAUGGCACUGCCCGGUAGCUAAAUGCGGAAGAGAUAAGUGCUGAAAGCAUCUAAGCACGAAACUUGCCCCGAGAUGAGUUCUCCCUGACCCUUUAAGGGUCCUGAAGGAACGUUGAAGACGACGACGUUGAUAGGCCGGGUGUGUAAGCGCAGCGAUGCGUUGAGCUAACCGGUACUAAUGAACCGUGAGGCUUAACCUU